AGGGCGCAUGGUGGAUGCCUUGGCAUCGAGAGCCGAUGAAGGACGUGGGAGGCUGCGAUAUGCCUCGGGGAGCUGUCAACCGAGCAUUGAUCCGAGGAUUUCCGAAUGGGGAAACCCAGCACGAGUGAUGUCGUGUUACCCGUAUCUGAAUAUAUAGGGUGCGGGAGGUAACGCGGGGAAGUGAAACAUCUCAGUACCCGUAGGAGAAGAAAACAAUUGUGAUUCCGUCAGUAGUGGCGAGCGAACGCGGAACAGGCUAAACCGCAUGCAUGGACAACCGGGUAGGGGUUGUGUGUGCGGGGUUGUGGGAUUGAUAUGUCUCAGCUCUACCUGGCUGAGGGGUAGUCAGAAAGUGUCGUGGUUAGCGGAAGUGGCCUGGGACGGCCCGCCGUAGACGGUGAGAGCCCGGUACGCGAAAACCCGGCACCUGCCUUAUAUCAACACCCGAGUAGCAGCGGGCCCGUGGAAUCUGCUGUGAAUCUGCCGGGACCACCCGGUAAGCCUAAAUACUUCUCGAUGACCGAUAGCGGAUUAGUACCGUGAGGGAAUGGUGAAAAGUACCCCGGGAGGGGAGUGAAAUAGUACCUGAAACCGUGUGCCUACAAUCCGUCAGAGCCUCCUCGUGGGGUGAUGGCGUGCCUUUUGAAGAAUGAGCCUGCGAGUCAGGGACACGUCGCGAGGUUAACCCGUGCGGGGUAGCCGCAGCGAAAGCGAGUCUGAAUAGGGCGCAUCCCCUUUGGGGUGUAGUGGCGUGUUCUGGACCCGAAGCGGAGUGAUCUACCCAUGGCCAGGGUGAAGCGCGGGUAAGACCGCGUGGAGGCCCGAACCCACUUAGGUUGAAGACUGAGGGGAUGAGCUGUGGGUAGGGGUGAAAGGCCAAUCAAACUCCGUGAUAGCUGGUUCUCCCCGAAAUGCAUUUAGGUGCAGCGUUGCGUGGUUCACCACGGAGGUAGAGCUACUGGAUGGCCGAUGGGCCCUACUAGGUUACUGACGUCAGCCAAACUCCGAAUGCCGUGGUGUAAAGCGUGGCAGUGAGACGGCGGGGGAUAAGCUCCGUACGUCGAAAGGGAAACAGCCCAGAUCGCCGGCUAAGGCCCCUAAGCGUGUGCUAAGUGGAAAAGGAUGUGUAGUCGCAGAGACAACCAGGAGGUUGGCUUAGAAGCAGCCACCCUUGAAAGAGUGCGUAAUAGCUCACUGGUCAAGUGAUUAUGCGCCGAUAAUGUAGCGGGGCUCAAGCACACCGCCGAAGCCGCGGCACAUUCAUCUUUACGGUGGAUGUGGGUAGGGGAGCGUCCCCCAUUCAGCGAAGCCUCCGGGUGACCGGUGGUGGAGGGUGGGGGAGUGAGAAUGCAGGCAUGAGUAGCGAUAAGGCAAGUGAGAACCUUGCCCGCCGUAAGACCAAGGGUUCCUGGGCCAGGCCAGUCCGCCCAGGGUGAGUCGGGACCUAAGGCGAGGCCGACAGGCGUAGUCGAUGGACAACGGGUUGAUAUUCCCGUACCCGUGUAUGGGCGUCCCUGAUGAAUCAGCGGUACUAACCACCCAAAACCGGAUCGACCAUUCCCCUUCGGGGGCGUGGCGAUUCGGGGCUGCGUGGGACCUUCGCUGGUAGUAGUCAAGCAAUGGGGUGACGCAGGAAGGCAGCCGUACCAGUCAGUGGUAAUACUGGGGCAAGCCCGUAGGGAGAGCGAUAGGCAAAUCCGUCGCUCACUAAUCCUGAGAGGUGAUGCAUAGCCGGUUGAGGCGAAUUCGGUGAUCCUCUGCUGCCAAGAAAAGCCUCUAGCGAGCACAUACACGGCCCGUACCCCAAACCAACACAGGUGGUCAGGUAGAGAAUACCAAGGCGUACGAGAUAACUAUGGUUAAGGAACUCGGCAAAAUGCCCCCGUAACUUCGGGAGAAGGGGGGCCGGAAUACCGUGAACACCCUUGCGGUGGGAGCGGGAUUCGGCCGCAGAAACCAGUGGGUAGCGACUGUUUACUAAAAACACAGGUCCGUGCGAAGUCGCAAGACGAUGUAUACGGACUGACGCCUGCCCGGUGCUGGAAGGUUAAGAGGACCCGUUAACCCGUAAGGGUGAAGCGGAGAAUUUAAGCCCCAGUAAACGGCGGUGGUAACUAUAACCAUCCUAAGGUAGCGAAAUUCCUUGUCGGGUAAGUUCCGACCUGCACGAAUGGCGUAACGACUUCCCAACUGUCUCAACCAUAGACUCGGCGAAAUUGCACUACGAGUAAAGAUGCUCGUUACGCGCGGCAGGACGAAAAGACCCCGGGACCUUCACUACAACUUGGUAUUGGUGUUCGGUACGGUUUGUGUAGGAUAGGUGGGAGACUUUGAAGCACAGACGCCAGUUUGUGUGGAGUCGUUGUUGAAAUACCACUCUGAUCGUAUUGGACACCUAACGUCGAACCCUUAUCGGGUUCACGGACAGUGCCUGGCGGGUAGUUUAACUGGGGCGGUUGCCUCCUAAAAUGUAACGGAGGCGCCCAAAGGUUCCCUCAACCUGGACGGCAAUCAGGUGGCGAGUGUAAGUGCACAAGGGAGCUUGACUGCGAGACUUACAAGUCAAGCAGGGACGAAAGUCGGGACUAGUGAUCCGGCACCCCCGAGUGGAAGGGGUGUCGCUCAACGGAUAAAAGGUACCCCGGGGAUAACAGGCUGAUCUUCCCCAAGAGUCCAUAUCGACGGGAUGGUUUGGCACCUCGAUGUCGGCUCGUCGCAUCCUGGGGCUGGAGCAGGUCCCAAGGGUUGGGCUGUUCGCCCAUUAAAGCGGCACGCGAGCUGGGUUUAGAACGUCGUGAGACAGUUCGGUCUCUAUCCGCCGCGCGCGUCAGAAACUUGAGGAAACCUGUCCCUAGUACGAGAGGACCGGGACGGACGAACCUCUGGUAUACCAGUUGUCCCACCAGGGGCACGGCUGGAUAGCCACGUUCGGACAGGAUAACCGCUGAAAGCAUCUAAGCGGGAAACCUUCUCCAAGAUCAGGUUUCUCACCCUUUU
This 2997-nucleotide ribosomal RNA is filed under the name Mycobacterium avium subsp. hominissuis. RNAcentral describes it as "bacterial LSU rRNA". It matches the Rfam family "Bacterial large subunit ribosomal RNA". Lineage: Bacteria; Bacillati; Actinomycetota; Actinomycetes; Mycobacteriales; Mycobacteriaceae. The record is from RNAcentral.